This 241-nucleotide unclassified non-coding RNA is filed under the name Hevea brasiliensis (rubber tree). Lineage: Eukaryota; Viridiplantae; Streptophyta; Magnoliopsida; Malpighiales; Euphorbiaceae. The record is from RNAcentral.
GCCUUCAGCCGCUCGGCCACGUCUCCACAGGCUCGAUAUGCCUUACGCGGUCACGCGCCGCAAGUCGCUGAGGAAUUUUCCCCGAUUUGGCCCCAAUCAGAUCCGUUCGGGCCGCUCCUUUCUCUCACUCUAUAAUGUCCUCGGUUUCCUCAAGGCGGUUCCGAGCCGGCCGAAGGCCGCCAAAUGCGCUGUGGCAGCCUAAAAUGUUGGGGAACACGGAUUUAACGGCCGCCCAUUUUGC